This 460-nucleotide ribosomal RNA is filed under the name uncultured bacterium. RNAcentral's name for it is "partial 16S ribosomal RNA". It matches the Rfam family "Bacterial small subunit ribosomal RNA", at positions 338 to 795 of the family's 1533-position model. The record is from RNAcentral.
CCUACGGGAGGCAGCAGUGAGGAAUAUUGGUCAAUGGACGAGAGCCUGAACCAGCCAAGUCGCGUGAAGGAUGACGGCCCUAUGGGUGGUAAAUUUCUUUUAUCUGGGAAUAUAGUGGCCCAUGUGUGGGAAUUUAGAUGUACCCUAUGACGAAGCAUCGGCUAACUCCGUGCCAGGAUCCGCGGUAAUACGGAGGGUGCGAGCGUUAUCCGGAUUUAUUGGGUUUAAGGGGAGUGUAGGGGGGUUUGUAGGUCAGUGGUGAAAGUCUGCGGUUUAACCGUAGAACUGCAGUUGACACUGGCAGUCUUGAGUACAGGAGAGGUAGGCGGAAUUCGUGGUGUAGCGGUGAAAUGCUUAGAUAUCACGAAGAACUCCGAUUGCGAAGGCAGCUCACUGGACUGCAACUGACGCUGAGGCUCGAAAGUGUGGGUAUCAAACAGGAUUAGAUACCCGAGUAGUC